CGGUUAAGUUAGAAAGGGCGGCACGUGGAUGCCUUGGCCACUAGGAGCCGAUGAAGGACGGGACGAACCCGAUAUGCUUCGGGAGCUGUAAGCAAGCUUUGAUCCGGAGAUUUCCGAAUGGGGAAACCCACCACUCGUAAUGGAGUGGUAUCCAUAUCUGAAUACAUAGAUAUGAGAAGCAGACCCGGGGAACUGAAACAUCUAGUACCCGGAGGAGAGAAAGCAAAUGCGAUUCCCUGAGUAGCGGCGAGCGAAACGGGACCAGCCCAACCAAGAGCUUGCCUCUUGGGGUUGUAGGACACUCUGUCACGGAGUUACAAAGGAACGAGGUAGAUGAAGAGGUCUGAAAGGCCGCCAUAGGAGGUAACAGCCCUGUAGUCAAAACUUCGUUCUCUCCUGAGUGGAUCCUGAGUACGGCGGAACACGGUGAAAUUCGUCGGAAUCCGGGAGGACAUCUCCCAAGGCUAAAUACUCCUAGUGACCGAUAGUGAACCAGUACCUGUGAGGGAAAGGUGAAAAGCACCCCGGAAGGGGAGUGAAAGAGAUCCUGAAACCGUGUGCCUACAAGUAGUCAGAGCCCGUUAACGGGUGAUGGCGUGCCUUUUAGAUAUGAACCGGCGAGUUACGAUCCGUGCAAGGUUAAGCAGAAGAUGCGGAGCCGCAGCGAAAGCGAGUCUGAAUAGGGCGAAUUGAGUACGUGGUCGUAGACCGAAACCAGGUGAUCUACCCAUGUCCAGGGUGAAGUUCAGGUUAACACUGAAUGGAGGCCCGAAACCACGCACGUUGAAAAGUGGCGGGGAUGAGGUGUGGGUAGGGGUGAAAAUGCCAAUCGAACCUGGAGAUAGCUGGUUCUCUCCGAAAUAGCUUUAGGGCUAGCCUCCAAGGUAAGAGUCUCGGAGGUAGAGCACUGAUUGGACUAGGGGCCCCUACCCGGGUUACCGAAUUCAGUCAAAUCCCGAAUGCCGAUGACUUAUCCUUGGGAGUCAGACUGCGAGUGAUAAGAUCCGUAGUCGAAAGGGAAACAGCCCAGACCGCCAGCUAAGGUCCCCAAGUAUAUCGUUAAGUGGAAAAGGAUGUGGAGUUGCUUAGACAAACCAGGCAUGUUGGCUUAGAAGCAGCCACCAUUUAAAGAGUGCGUAAUAGCUCACUGGUCGAGUGACUCUGCGCCGAAAAUGUACCGGGGCUAAACGUAUCACCGAAGCUGCGGACUGUUCUUCGAACAGUGGUAGGAGAGCGGUUCUAAGGGCUGUGAAGCAAGACCGGAAGGACUUGUGGAGCGCUUAGAAGUGAGAAUGCCGGUAUGAGUAGCGAAAAGAGGGGUGAGAAUCCCCUCCACCGAAUGCCUAAGGUUUCGCUGAGGAAGGCUCGUCCGCUCAGGGUUAGUCGGGGACCUAAGCCGAGGCUGAAAGCGUAGGCGAUGGACAACAGGUUGAUAUUCCUGUACCACCUCCUCACCAUUUGAGGCAAUGGGGGGACGCAGGAGGAUAGGGUAAGCGCGUAUUGGAUAUCCGCGUCCAAGCAGUUAGGCUGGGAAAUAGGCAAAUCCGUUUCCCGUGAAGGCUGAGCUGUGAUGGCGAGCGAAUUAUAGUAGCGAAUUCCUGAUUCCACACUGCCAAGAAAAGCCUCUAGCGACGGUGAGAGUGGCCCGUACCGCAAACCGACACAGGUAGGGCGAGGAGAGAAUCCUAAGUGAUCGAGAGAACUCUCGUUAAGGAACUCGCAAAAUGACCCAGUAACUUCGGGAGAGGGGUGCUCUGUUAGGGUGCAAGCCGAGAGAGCCGCAGUGAAUAGGCCCAGGCGACUGUUUAGCAAAAACACAGCUCUGCGAAGCCGUAAGCGAAGUAUAGGGGCUGACGCCUGCCCGGUGCUGGGAAGGUUAAGAGGAGGCGCUUAGCGUAAGCGAAGUGCGAAUGAAGCCCCAGUAAACGGCGGCCGUAACUUAUAACGGUCCUAAGGUAGCGAAAUUCCUUGUCGGGUAAGUUCCGACCCGGUCACGAAAGGCGCAACGAUCUGGGCACUGUCUCAACGAGAGACUCGGUGAAAUUAUUAGUACCUGUGAAGAUGCAGGUUACCCGCGACAGGACGGAAAGACCCCGUGGAGCUUUACGCAGCCUGAUAUUGAAUGUUGGUACAGCUUGUACAGGAUAGGUAGGAGCCUUGGAAACCGGAGCGCCAGCUUCGGUGGAGGCAUCGGUGGGAUACUACCCUGGCUGUAUUGACCUUCUAACCCGCCGCCCUUAUCGGGCGGGGAGACAGUGUCAGGUGGGCAGUUUUGACUGGGGCGGUCGCCUCCUAAAAUGGUAACGGAGGCGCCAAAGGUUCCCUCAGAAUGGUUGGAAAUCAUUCGCAGAGUGGUAAAGGCACAAGGGAGCUUGACUGCGAGACCUACAAGUCGAGCAGGGACGAAAGUCGGGCUUAGUGAUCCGGUGGUCCGCAUGGAAGGGCCAUCGCUCAACGGAUAAAAGCUACCCCGGGAUAACAGGCUUAUCUCCCCAAGAGUCCACAUCGACGGGGGAGGUUUGGGCACCUCAGAUGUCGGCUCAUCGCAUCCUGGGGCUGUAGUCGGUCCCAAGGGUUGGGCUGUUCGCCCAUUAAAGCGGUACGCGAGCUGGGUUCAGAACGUCGUGAGACAGUUCGGGUCCCUAUCCGUCGCGGGGCGCAGGAAAUUUGAGAGGAGCUGUCCUUAGUACGAGAGGACCGGAUGGACGCACCGCUGGUGUACCAGUUGUUCUGCAAGGGCAUCGUGGGUAGCUAUGUGCGGACGGGAUAAGUGCUGAAAGCAUCUAAGCAUGAAGCCCCCCUCAAGAUGAGAUUUCCCAUUCCGCAAGGAAGUAAGAUCCCUGAAAGAUGAUCAGGUUGAUAGGUCUGAGGUGGAAGUGUGGCGACACAUGGAGCUGACAGAUACUAAUCGAUCGAGGACUUAACCAAUUU
RNAcentral lists this ribosomal RNA (2931 nucleotides) under Bacillus velezensis. Its description in RNAcentral is "bacterial LSU rRNA". It matches the Rfam family "Bacterial large subunit ribosomal RNA". Lineage: Bacteria; Bacillati; Bacillota; Bacilli; Caryophanales; Bacillaceae. The record is from RNAcentral.